RNAcentral lists this long non-coding RNA (1704 nucleotides) under Canis lupus familiaris (dog). RNAcentral's name for it is "family with sequence similarity 110 member B (ENSCAFG00000007084.4)". Lineage: Eukaryota; Metazoa; Chordata; Mammalia; Carnivora; Canidae. The record is from RNAcentral.
CCACUUGAUGAUCCUAGCAUUUCUUUCGAUGGCAGAGAUGCCGUAGGGCACCCGGUCAUUGGCACUGUCAUCGUUUCUAAGGUCACUGUUACUGUCCUGAGACUGUUCGCAGUCCGAGCUGAUCAUGCUUGCGCUGCGGAAGUUGAGGGAGAUGAUGUCGGAAUUAGCCCUUGCAAAGUUCUCCAUGCCCAGGUUCUCCAGCUCCUCGGGGUCCAGUCCGCAGUAGUUGAAGAAGCGCUCCACGUCGGCGUCCACGCGGAAGUACCUGUCGCUCAGGUCCGACUUGGAGCGCUGCAGCGAGGGCCUCCGGCUGACCCCGCAGGCGGGCUCGGCGGGCUCGGCGGCCUCGGGGGACUUGGCGGCCGCCACGGCCACGGCCGCGGCCUUGGGCUUGGGCUUGGGCGGCAGGGGCGGCGCGGAGCUGCUGCAGGGGAUGGCGCGCAGGGGCUUGGCGCUGGUCGCCCUGCGCACGUCCGAGGAGCUGUGCGAGACGUGCAGGAAGGAGUCGGCCGCCGGCUCCGGCAGCCGCCUGCCCGCGUGGGAGCCGCCCUCGUGCGGGCUGCCGCGGCCCUGCGUGGGGAACACCUUGAGCGACUCGGCGAACGAGUGCCGGUGCGGGUCGGGCGCGUCGGGCCGGGGCGGCGGCCGGUUGCGCGCGCCCAGCUUGUGCGCCGAGCCCGGGCUGGAGCCCUCGGAGCUGUUGAGGAUGUUUUUCAGGAUCUCGAGCUUCAGGUUCUCGCGCUGCACGCCGCCCUCGGUCUUGGCGUGGCCGCCCAACACCCGCAGCGUGGGGCUGCCCAGGGCGCGCUUGGCGGCGGGGCACACGGGGGGCUUGGCCAGCACGGCCGGCUUCACGGGCUCCUGCUUGGCGUUGAUGACCUCCUGGCUCUUGACGUACUUGGCCUUGUCCGCUUCCAGCCUCUCCACGGCGCUCAGCCUCUUGGGGUUGGGCUCGGCCUGCCGGCGAAAGUAGUCGGGCCCCUUGUUGAGGAUGCGCAGGGGGACGGCCGAGGUGAAGGUGCCCGCGGGGCUGACCGGCUUCACCAUGCUACCUGUCUGCAGGGUCUCGGUGGGCAUGGCGGGCGGUCUCUCCCCGGCGGCCGUGUUGGAUUCCGGUGCGCGCGCCUCCGGAUGCGCCGAGCUGACACAUGUACGCGAAGCACAAAGGGCAGCGGCCGGCGCCGGGGACCGGGGUGUCAGCAGGCGCCGCCGCGGCGCCGCCGCAUCUCACGGCUCGCCCGCCGCCGCCAACGCCGCCGCCAACGCCGCGAUCCACUCCCCCCCUCCCGAAGGCCACGAGCCACGAGCUCCCUGAACCGGCGCCGCUGCCUCCUUUCUUCUCCCCGAAGGAUGUGGGAGUCUCCUCCAGGUCUUUGUGUUCGGCUGCAGGCAGAGCUGAAACACACAACAACCAACCGCGGGUUAGGACGGGCGAGUGACAUCACGGCUGUAGCAACGGAGCCACCCGCGGCGCCCCCGCCCCCGCCCCCGCCCCCGCCGGCCCCGCCGCUCCCGCUCCCGCCGCCGCUCCCGCCGCUCCCGCUCCCGGGGCCCCGCAGCCCGGGCGGCCGCUGGGGGCGCGGGGGCGGGGGGGGCGGGCUGUCCCCCGCGGGGGCCCUUGCCGCCGCCUCCCCGUGGCUGGGAUCCGCCCCCGAGCACGCCCGGCUGGCUUUCCCAGCACCAAACCCAGGCAAUCCUGCAUGA